CGGUGGAAUUCUGUACCAAUAGAAUUGGCACUAGAGGAAGGGCACUGUGUCUUCGCAGGACCUUUGUUCUUAAAAGAGUACUCAAUGGGACUAUUUUCGAUCAUCUUCUUCGAUAUUUUCUUCCUCUUCUCCUACCAGAUCCCCACCUGAUGCCUCCCCGAAAGGCAUCCACUAGGCAAUCUACGGCCUCUGUGGCCAG
Molecule: long non-coding RNA, 199 nt
Filed under: Elaeis guineensis (African oil palm)
Lineage: Eukaryota; Viridiplantae; Streptophyta; Magnoliopsida; Arecales; Arecaceae
Description: long non-coding RNA (EGUI_LNC056403)
Source: RNAcentral